GCCCCGGCUGCCACCGCCGCCACCGUGGGCGCGGGGACCACGAACGCUGCUGGAUGAAUGUUCGUGGUGUUUGUGCUGGGGCAGGAUAAAGGCCAGUCAGUCACCUUCCAACGACAUUUUAGUCAUUGUGUCUUUCACUUACACAGCCCGGUUGUCUGAAAUAUGUCAGUGGAAAAAUGCUGACGUGAGCGUUCGUGUCCCAGGAAUUCAUGUACGCACUCCUUGGGAGCACUGUACAGCGCUGAGCCAUGGAAAACACACCCAUCAUAGAGAGAACAGUUGUAACUGCAGUGACACCAGUACUCCAUAUGGACAAGCAGUGGACUUCUGGGGUGACAGAGGACCUGCAGUGGAAGUAAAGGCAUGAAUGGUUGUCCUCAGGCCUGCAGGUACUGGCAAGGACUCUUUUCUCUCAUGGUUAAGAAGCAAAGGCCAAAGGCUCUGGGCAACAAGCUCUGGCAUAUUUAGCUGCUGUGUUUUAAGAUUUGAUUUCUCUCAACUGCCUGAGGUCAUAAUCAUUCUAGGAGAGUAAAACAAUUAAAGUAGGUAUUAUUUUAACAUGCCAGCCUGUAACCUGGAGUCUACACCGUAAGAGUGUAGUAAUACCUAACAGCAGAGUAAAAUAGACACUUGAGAGUGGUAAUGUCUUAAACUGAAUGUGUAACUCUGCCAAAACCCCUUAUCAGAGCUCUAAGCCUCAAAACGACCCAUCCCCAUUAUGCACUUACAGGUUAAGAAGCAUCUAGAAGACAAACCAGACUCUCCCCAGACUCUCUGUGUAACACACAGCCUACCAAAGAAUUCCUCUGGCCCGGUGUGCUGUGUGGGUGAAAGAAACGAGUUUGUCCUGCCUCGCUGCUCUCUUCUUGGCCUGAGAUCAGCACGUUGUUGAGCACGCAGCAGAUCGUGACCAGAGGCAAUGGCCUCUUUCAACAGCCCAGUAACACGUGCUGGGUUGAGAGCUGCUGACUUUAAAGGUGAGAAUGGUGAGGCACUGAGGAUUCCUGACUGGCAACUGCUCUCCACAUGAGCAUACAGCAGGGCACCUCACACACGUUUGACAAAGAAAGUUUGCAAAUAAAGAACUAGCUAUGGGGAAGCA
RNAcentral lists this long non-coding RNA (1102 nucleotides) under Lonchura striata (white-rumped munia). RNAcentral describes it as "domestica (Bengalese finch) lncRNA (ENSLSDG00000010925.1)". Lineage: Eukaryota; Metazoa; Chordata; Aves; Passeriformes; Estrildidae. The record is from RNAcentral.